Molecule: ribosomal RNA, 879 nt
Filed under: uncultured bacterium
Lineage: Bacteria
Description: bacterial SSU rRNA
Rfam family: Bacterial small subunit ribosomal RNA
Source: RNAcentral
CGGCAAACUGGUGAGUAACACGUGAGUAAUCUAUCUCUAAAUCGAGGAUAGCUUUGCGAAAGCAGAGGUAAUACUUGAUGUGUUUAUUAUAGCAUAAGCUAUGAUAUAUAAAGGUGCCCUGAUGUAUAGUCGGGGUGUUGUUUAGAGCGGAGCUCGCGUCCUAUCAGCUAGUUGGCAGGGUAAUGGCCUACCAAGGCUUUUGACGGGUAGCUGGCCUGAGAGGGUGGUCAGCCACACGGGGACUGAGACACUGCCCCGACUCCUACGGGAGGCUGCAGUCGAGGAUAUUUAGCAAUGGGCGAAAGCCUGACUAUGUGACGCCGCGUGAGGGAUGAAGGUUUUCGGAUCGUAAACCUCUUUCGAUGGGAAAGAAGACCCGCAGUCAAAUAAAUUGCGGGGUUGACGGUACCUAGAGAAGAAGCCACGGCCAACUCCGUGCCAGCAGCCGCGGUAAUACGGGGGUGGCAAGCGUUACUCGGAUUUAUUGGGUGUAAAGGGCAGGUAGGCGAUUUGCUAAGUUAGAAGUGAAAUCCUUUGGCUCAACCAAAGAACUGCUUCUAAAACUGGCUUGAUUGAGGCUAAAAGAGGAGAGCGGAAUUCCCGGUGUAAGAGUGAAAUCUGUAGAUAUCGGGAGGAACACCAGUGGCGAAGGCGGCUCUCUGGUUUAGACCUGACGCUGAUCUGCGAAAGCUAGGGGAGCAAACAGGAUUAGAUACCCUGGUAGUCCUAGCCGUAAACGAUGAGCACUAGUGUUGGAAGUUUAUCUUUCAGCGCCGCAGAUAACUCGUUAAGUGCUCCACCUGGGGACUACGACCGCAAGGUUAAAACUCAAGGAAUUGACGGGGGCCCGCACAAGCGGUGAACAUGUGGUUCAAUUCG